Molecule: ribosomal RNA, 491 nt
Filed under: uncultured bacterium
Lineage: Bacteria
Description: partial 16S ribosomal RNA
Rfam family: Bacterial small subunit ribosomal RNA
Source: RNAcentral
GAUGAACGCUGGCUACAGGCUUAACACAUGCAAGUCGAGGGGAAACGACGGGGAAGCUUGCUUCCCCGGGCGUCGACCGGCGCACGGGUGAGUAACGCGUAUCCAACCUGCCUCUGACUGAGGGAUAACCCGUCGAAAGUCGGCCUAAUACCUCAUGGCAUCGUCUGCGGGCAUCCAACGACGAUUAAAGAUUUCAUCGGUCAGGGAUGGGGAUGCGUCUGAUUAGCUAGUUGGCGGGGUAACGGCCCACCAAGGCGACGAUCAGUAGGGGUUCUGAGAGGAAGGUCCCCCACAUUGGAACUGGGACACGGGCCAAACUCCUACGGGAGGCAGCAGUGAGGAAUAUUGGUCAAUGGGCGAGAGCCUGAACCAGCCAAGUAGCGUGCAGGAUGACGGCCCUAUGGGUUGUAAACUGCUUUUAGGCGGGGAUAAAGUGAGGGACGUGUCCUUCAUUGCAGGUACCGCAUGAAUAAGGACCGGCUAAUUCCGUG